Long non-coding RNA from Sinocyclocheilus grahami, 373 nucleotides. RefSeq lists it as uncharacterized. The record is from RefSeq and is a predicted model, not a curated record. Lineage: Eukaryota; Metazoa; Chordata; Actinopteri; Cypriniformes; Cyprinidae. The transcript is spliced from 3 exons.
AGAGCCUACCCUUGUUUUACAUUUUGCUGAUUUCUGCUGCUGGAUCUCUUUUGAUUGUAGCUGCAGUUGUGAUGUACUGCAGGAAAUGUAGAAAAACAGUCGACACCCAGGAGGAAGGCAGAAUGGAUGCAGCAUUGUGUAAACCAACAACAAGAAAAAUGAAAUCAAAGACGGAUACUGUGUAUGAAAAUGUCCCCAAAACACGAUGAUCAGAUACUAUCUACUGGAACUGAUAGAGCAUACUGGACAAUACCUCACGCACACAUUUUGUUUUUGUUCACAUUUAUUCCCUGCCAUGUCACCAUUUGUAUCACAAAAAUAUUCUUUAGUUUUUCAUAUAGAAAUUUACAUAACUGUCAUUAUUAAAUGUUAA